This 253-nucleotide ribosomal RNA is filed under the name uncultured bacterium. Its description in RNAcentral is "partial 16S ribosomal RNA". It matches the Rfam family "Bacterial small subunit ribosomal RNA", at positions 524 to 776 of the family's 1533-position model. The record is from RNAcentral.
UACAGAGGGUGCGAGCGUUAAUCGGAAUUACUGGGCGUAAAGGGCGCGUAGGUGGUUUGAUAAGAUGGUUGUGAAAUACCUGGGCUUAACCUGGGAAUGGCAAUCAAGACUGUUAGACUUGAGUACGGUAGAGGAUAGUGGAAUUUCCGGUGUAGCGGUGAAAUGCGCAGAUAUCAGGAAGAACACCUAUGGCGAAGGCAGCUCUCUGGGACGGUACUGACGCUGAGACGCGAAAGCGUGGGGAGCGAACAGG